AAGUUAGUAGUGAAAGCGUCCGGCUCAACCGGAUAAACAUUACUAAAACUGCAAAGCUAGAGGACAAGAGAGGUCACUGGAAUUCCUUGUGUAGGAGUGAAAUCCGUAGAUAUAAGGAGGAACACCGAUGGCGUAGGCAGGUUACUGGACCAUUUCUGACACUGAGGCACGAAAGCGUGGGGAGCGAACCGGAUUAGAUACCCGGGUAGUCCACGCCGUAAACGAUGGAUACUA
RNAcentral lists this ribosomal RNA (234 nucleotides) under uncultured Candidatus Saccharibacteria bacterium. Its description in RNAcentral is "partial 16S ribosomal RNA". It matches the Rfam family "Bacterial small subunit ribosomal RNA", at positions 585 to 818 of the family's 1533-position model. Lineage: Bacteria; Candidatus Saccharimonadota. The record is from RNAcentral.